Non-coding RNA from Fulmarus glacialis (Northern fulmar), 93 nucleotides. The record is from Rfam. NCBI's taxonomy places the organism in Eukaryota, Metazoa, Chordata, Aves, Procellariiformes, Procellariidae.
GAGGUUUUGAUGUCGCAGAUACUGCAUCAGGAACUGAUUGGAUAAUAAUCAGUCACCAUCAGUUCCUAAUGCAUUGCCUUCAGCAUCUAAACA